RNAcentral lists this long non-coding RNA (213 nucleotides) under Monodelphis domestica (gray short-tailed opossum). Its description in RNAcentral is "lncRNA (ENSMODG00000050234.1)". The record is from RNAcentral. Lineage: Eukaryota; Metazoa; Chordata; Mammalia; Didelphimorphia; Didelphidae.
AUCAUGAAUGACUUUCACAUCAUCAUGAAGGGUGACGUGUUGCAGGAAAAAUUUUAAGUUUUUCCAUAGUGUUUCUACAUAAAGGAAUGAAGAAUUAGUUAAGAACAAUGGCAUUAAUGCAUAUCUGCAAAGCACAAAGUAAGAAAAUAUCUCCAACAAGUCUUUCAGCCUCCAAUACAACAACAACAACAAAAAUAAACAAAUGAAACCCUC